Molecule: non-coding RNA, 99 nt
Organism: Acanthosepion pharaonis
Lineage: Eukaryota; Metazoa; Mollusca; Cephalopoda; Sepiida; Sepiidae
Source: the annotation of a GenBank genome assembly
CGUUGAAACACAGGUUCCCGUAAGAUCAGCGAAAUUAAGCAACAUCGAGCCGGGUUAGUAUCUAGAUGGGUGACCAUUUGGGAAUACUAGGUGGUGUAA